Molecule: long non-coding RNA, 161 nt
Organism: Artibeus jamaicensis (Jamaican fruit-eating bat)
Lineage: Eukaryota; Metazoa; Chordata; Mammalia; Chiroptera; Phyllostomidae
Exons: 3
Source: RefSeq, a predicted model, not a curated record
AGAUUCCACAGAUGUUCGUAGUGCUCUCAGCCAAGUGGAGACAGGGAAUGAUCAAAACAGCCUAGAUUUCAACAGGCAGGAAGAAGAUAGUGGACAAAACAGAGGAAAUGGAACAAAAAGAGCUCAGAAAGGAGAGAGUGACUCAGCUCAAUGGGACAAUG